Molecule: long non-coding RNA, 367 nt
Filed under: Olea europaea subsp. europaea
Lineage: Eukaryota; Viridiplantae; Streptophyta; Magnoliopsida; Lamiales; Oleaceae
Source: RNAcentral
UAAAUCGAAAGAAUUAUUUCGUGAACAGUGGCAAACCGGGAUUUUGGAAGGUGAAACAGACGAAUAUGGUUCAUACAGCUUCGCCGGUUUCUUGGGUGAGUACAAGACUACAGCUAAAUAUGGCAACAACAUAGUGAAAUCAACAUUCUCUAUUAGUCAAGGUGAAGAAACCAGGAAUUUUAACAUUCAAUUGUAAUAACAUAAGUGAUUUUUAAGAAAUUUAUUGCAAUGGAAGUAUCUAUCUGGUUGACAAUGUAGAACGUUAGAAGAAUUAUUAUGUCAUGAUACACAAUGAAAUUCUACCUAUUAAUGUAUUCAUUCUAAGAUAUAUCAGCAGCUUAGUCGAGCUUUUAGCUGAUGUGUUUCC